Molecule: ribosomal RNA, 680 nt
Filed under: uncultured Enterobacteriaceae bacterium
Lineage: Bacteria; Pseudomonadati; Pseudomonadota; Gammaproteobacteria; Enterobacterales; Enterobacteriaceae
Description: bacterial SSU rRNA
Rfam family: Bacterial small subunit ribosomal RNA
Source: RNAcentral
GUAAACGAUGUCGACUUGGAGGUUGUGCCCUUGAGGCGUGGCUUCCGGAGCUAACGCGUUAAGUCGACCGCCUGGGGAGUACGGCCGCAAGGUUAAAACUCAAAUGAAUUGACGGGGGCCCGCACAAGCGGUGGAGCAUGUGGUUUAAUUCGAUGCAACGCGAAGAACCUUACCUGGUCUUGACAUCCACGGAAGUUUUCAGAGAUGAGAAUGUGCCUUCGGGAACCGUGAGACAGGUGCUGCAUGGCUGUCGUCAGCUCGUGUUGUGAAAUGUUGGGUUAAGUCCCGCAACGAGCGCAACCCUUAUCCUUUGUUGCCAGCGGUCCGGCCGGGAACUCAAAGGAGACUGCCAGUGAUAAACUGGAGGAAGGUGGGGAUGACGUCAAGUCAUCAUGGCCCUUACGACCAGGGCUACACACGUGCUACAAUGGCGCAUACAAAGAGAAGCGACCUCGCGAGAGCAAGCGGACCUCAUAAAGUGCGUCGUAGUCCGGAUUGGAGUCUGCAACUCGACUCCAUGAAGUCGGAAUCGCUAGUAAUCGUGGAUCAGAAUGCCACGGUGAAUACGUUCCCGGGCCUUGUACACACCGCCCGUCACACCAUGGGAGUGGGUUGCAAAAGAAGUAGGUAGCUUAACCUUCGGGAGGGCGCCUACCACUUUGUGAUUCAUGACUGGGGUG